CCUACGGGUGGCAGCAGUGGGGAAUAUUGGGCAAUGGGCGCAAGCCUGCCCCAGCAACGCCGCGUGAAGGAAGAAGGCUUUCGGGUUGUAAACUUAUUUUCUCAGGGACGAAGAAAGUGACGGUACCUGAGGAAUAAUCCACGGCUAACUCCGUGCCAGCAGCCGCGGUAAUCCGUAGGUGGCAAGCGUUAUCCGGCUUUCCUGGGUGUAAAGGGCGGGUAGGCGGGACUGCAAGUCAGAUGUGAAAACCACGGGCUCAACCUGUGGCCUGCAUGUGAAACUGUAGUUCUUGAGUACUGGAGAGGCAGACGGAAUUCCUAGUGUAGCGGUGAAAUGCGUAGAUAUUAGGAGGAACACCAGUGGCGAAGGCGGUCUGCUGGACAGCAACUGACGCGGAGGCGCGAAAGCGUGGGGAGCAAACAGGAUUAGAUACCCCAGUAGUC
RNAcentral lists this ribosomal RNA (443 nucleotides) under uncultured bacterium. RNAcentral's name for it is "partial 16S ribosomal RNA". It matches the Rfam family "Bacterial small subunit ribosomal RNA", at positions 338 to 795 of the family's 1533-position model. The record is from RNAcentral.